Molecule: ribosomal RNA, 383 nt
Filed under: uncultured bacterium
Lineage: Bacteria
Description: bacterial SSU rRNA
Rfam family: Bacterial small subunit ribosomal RNA
Source: RNAcentral
ACUCCUACGGGAGGCAGCAGUGGGGAAUAUUGCACAAUGGGGAAACCCUGAUGCAGCCAUGCCGCGUGUGUGAAGAAGGCCUUGGUUGUAAAGCACUUUCAGUAGGGAGGAAGGUAGUGUAGUUAACACCUGCAUUAUUUGACGUUACCUACAGAAGAAGCACCGGCUAACUCCGUGCCAGCAGCCGCGGUAAUACGGAGGGGUGCGAGCGUUAAUCGGAAUUACUGGGCGUAAAGCGCAUGCAGGCGGCCUGUUAAGUCAGAUGUGAAAGCCCGGGGGCUUAACCUCGGAAUUGCAUUUGAAACUGGCAGGCUAGAGUCUUGUAGAGGGGGUAGAAUUUCAGGUGUAGCGGUGAAAUGCGUAGAGAUCUGAAGGAUACCAGU